GGCUGGGAGAGUGGCUCAGAA
RNAcentral lists this microRNA (21 nucleotides) under Mus musculus (house mouse). RNAcentral's name for it is "mmu-miR-7035-5p". The record is from miRBase by way of RNAcentral. Lineage: Eukaryota; Metazoa; Chordata; Mammalia; Rodentia; Muridae.